Molecule: RNA transcript, 2894 nt
Organism: Triticum aestivum (bread wheat)
Lineage: Eukaryota; Viridiplantae; Streptophyta; Magnoliopsida; Poales; Poaceae
Exons: 3
Source: RefSeq, a predicted model, not a curated record
GUUAGAUGUAGCAUAGAUAGAUGCAUGGUUUUGCAAUGACAGUGAGCAUAUAUAUGUUUGUGUACAAGACAUGCACAAGUCCGUGGCGUUUGGAAGCCAAGCAUAUAUGCUGUACUUAGGAAAGACAAUGUGAAGGAGGUUUUGUUUUACUAAAUUCAUUGCCUGAGUAGAUGUUCUCAUCAAUCUUGACAGGGUUAAAUUUGUGCCCGUUUUGUUGUUUCAGUUUAGUAGUGGGUCCACUAGUUGUGUUAGUAGUAGAUUUUGCUUCAAUGCGGUGUAAGCAUGAUUUUGUUAACGGUAAACUAUUUUGUUGUAGUGCAAUGGAUCGAAGCUGGAUACAAGGAACGCGUUUCACACCACCAUACAUGAAAGGUGUCGAAGAGUUUAUGGGUCUCGUUCGCCAAAAUUUUAGGGAAAAUCAGGACAUAUUGUGCCCAUGCAAGGACUGUCUGAAUGUGGAACACCGCAGCCAGGCUGAAGUAGAGGAGCACAUACUAUGCAAUGGUAUGUCCGUUACAUAUACAAGGUGGGUCUUUCAUGGUGAAGCGGUGAGUGACGAUGAAGGUGAUAAUACAGACGGUGCUGCAUAUCAAUCAGAUGAUGAUGAUGACCGUGAUGUAGCCAACAGAGGUGAUGUUGCGUAUAUGGUAGAUGAUAUGUUCAUGUCUGGAAGGCAAGGCAAGGAUAAGCCUAACCUCUUUUCCAAGCUAAUGGAUGAAGCGAAGAAAGAUCUUUAUGAAGGAUGUAGUGAUUUCACACGCCUGUCGUUCAUUAUUAAGCUCCUCCAUAUCAAAUCAUACAACCGGAUUACAAAUAGAGCAUUUAAUCAGUUUGCUGAGCUGAUUAGUGUGGCGUUUCCACAUGCUGAUAUACCUAAAUCAUACACUGAAGCUAAGAAUGUUCUUAGUGAAGUCGGGCUGGGUUACGAGACAAUUCAUGUUUGCAAGUUUGAUUGUGCAUUGUUUUGGGGCCAACAUGCCAACAAUAGCCAUUGUCCUGAAUGCGGGACAUCAAGAUGGAAAGACGAGGUGGGGAGGAAAAAGAUACCUCACAAGGUACUUAGGUACUUUCCUAUCAUCCCAAGGCUUCAAAGAUUUUUUGUGUCAAAGGAACAAUCAGCAGAUGCAAGGUGGCAUAAGGAGAAGAGGGUUGCUGAGGCAAAUGUUAUGAGACACCCUGCUGAUGGUGAAGCAUGGAAGCAUUUUGAUAGUGUGUUCGGUUGGUUUGCUAAGGAUGCCCGUAAUAUGAAGCUUGGUAUUGCCACGGAUGGAUUCAACCCCUUUGGAAACAUGACGAGUUCAUAUAGUAUGUGGCCUGUUUUUAUCAUCCCCUACAACUUCCCACCCUGGAUGUGCAUGGACCAAUCUAAUUUCAUGAUGUCUUUGCUUAUUCCCGGGAGAAAAGCACCUGGAAAGGAGUUCCAUGUAUUUAUGCAACCGCUGAUUGUAGAUAUGAUGAAACUUUGGGUAACUGGUGUGGAAACAUAUGAUGCAUUGACGGGGGAACCAUUUAAUUUGCAUGCGGCAUUCUUGUGGUCGAUUCAUGAUUACCCUGGACUGGCCACUUUAUCGGGCCGUAGCACAAGAGGUUAUCAUGCAUGUGUGCACUGUGAUGUGGAGCCUUGCUCUGAGCCAUUGAAAAAUAAAAUUGGGUUUGUUGGGCACCGAAGAUUUCUGCCUACUAAUCAUCCUUACAGAAGAAGCAAACUUUUCAAUGGGAAGACUGAGAAUAGAGGGAAACCCCAGAAGUUUUUUCAGUUCCUGCAAAAGGUUUUGGGUCAUCCAAACUCCAUUGUUAUCCAACUGAGUAUGACCAAAUGGUUUGGUAUGUGCUUACUAAUUGUCCUGAAGUAGAGGAGUACAUGGAGGUUUGUCGAGAAGAAAUACGAAGGAGAGGUGUCAUUAACAUUGAGCACACACUUAAGAAAGAAUUCCCUACAUGGUUCGAAAAGCAUAUAUAUACUUUAGGAGAACAACAUGUUUCAGCGGAUUUGUACUCACUAGCAUGUGGGCCAAACAAGCGGAUAGUGGUAUACUCUGCCUGCAAUGUGAAUGGUGUUCGGUAUCACACCUUUGAUCGUGAAAAGAAAAGAAAAACUCAAAAUUCAGGAAUCAUGGUGAAGGAAAUUGUCAAUAAUGUAGAGACUCAGUACUAUGGUGUUCUAAAAGAAGUUCUGGAGUUGCGGUACCCCAAAAACAAGCAUGGAGAAAGGUCGAUCUUUUUGUUUCGUGGUGAUUGGUUUGAUCUCCAUGGCAAGGCGACCGGCAUGAAAGAUGAUGGUUACUUCAAAAGUCUUAAUGUUAAGGCGCUUCGAUACAAGAAGGAUCCUUUCAUCUUGGCUUCUCAAGCAGAACAAGUGUUCUACAUGGAGGACACAAAAUAUGGAAAGGACUGGAAUGUGGUGCAGACUUUCAGUCAUAGACAUUUGUACGAUGUCCCUGAACUGGAGACAGGCGAGCUCAAUGCUACAGAUGCAUACCAGGAAGAAAUGCCCUCGACAACUUCCACUGUGAAGGAUAUUGAUCAGUUGUUGGACACUUAUAGCCGUGAUGACGAAGAAGGCACGCCUGUUCAUGCUAGUAUUGUUUACGAUCUUCUGAAGGAUGACAACAACUAUGAUGAAGAUAGUGGUACUGAUGAUGAUGGACAGGAAGAUGGUGCAUUGAGUGAGAAUGAGCAUUCAAGUGAUGAUGACUAGAUCGUGUAAUGCAUAUUUGUACUUUACAAAAGUUUGGCUCUUUUGGGUUCUUUUUAUGUUCAUUUUCACGUAAUACAGUACAUACCAUGGUUCGGAUUUGACACAUACAUGACUAUCUAGAUAACUUUACUUUGACAUCCAACUGAUAGGUGUUUGCAAAACUGCACUAGUGAGCAUGGUUUUGAGAUUUGCUACA